UCUGUCUCCUCUCUCGCCUUUCUCACUCUUCCCUCCCCCUCUCUCUCUCUCCGACGAACAGGACGCGACCUCCGAGUCUCUCUGUGCCACCUCUCUCCGCCUCCGCCUCCACCUCCGGACCUCCGCCUCCGCCUCGGUUCCUUUCCUUCUCCGCGCAUCCCACCUCUCUCCGCCUCCGGACCUCCGCCUCCGCCUGGGUCGCUGGUCAUCUGCCUCUGGCAUCUCGG
Molecule: long non-coding RNA, 227 nt
Filed under: Eucalyptus grandis
Lineage: Eukaryota; Viridiplantae; Streptophyta; Magnoliopsida; Myrtales; Myrtaceae
Description: long non-coding RNA (EGRA_LNC001335)
Source: RNAcentral